Clupea harengus (Atlantic herring) is the source of this 1070-nucleotide long non-coding RNA. The record is from Ensembl. Lineage: Eukaryota; Metazoa; Chordata; Actinopteri; Clupeiformes; Clupeidae.
GGCAAGGAACGAAUGUGGCUAGCGCGUUUGCUGGUAAUCAGUGAAGACACUCCAGACUCCGGAGCGACAAUCCUGAAUCCCCUAUCCGCAAUGCCUGGAGGGGAUAUCAGCCACAGAAAACAAGAAGAAAUCCAUUCUUUUUUCAGUGAGAAAAUUAGAGUGGCACCUGAUGAUGUCGACUUUGACACGUGUUAAUUGCUCCACAGUUCUCCUAAUUAGGGAUUUUCACAUUCUUUCAGUGCUGCGGGGCAGAUAGCGGUGUUUGCCUGGCAAAGGAGAAUUGCUGCUUACUUCAGUGUUUUCUGCGUUACAGACGCACCGACGUUAAUCUGUUCAUACUAGAUGCGGGACUCUCUCAUCAUCAGUGGAUGAUCAUUAACCCACGGAUGGCCAAACUCAAUAUGCUUUUUAAUUAGGCUAUGUAUAAAAUGUUGGGAAAAAAAACUGUUUAACACCUUGUAUGGCAGUAUUUUCUGUAUACUUCUAUACCAUACAUAGGUCACAGAUACCAUAGAAGCGAGAAAGAAACACCAUGAUGUCAUAGAGAAAUAUGCACAGCGAAUGCUGGCGUCCAGUCCUGGAAGCAGGCUGGGUUUCCAAACAGCAGGCAUUUGUGAAAGGGCCUGAAAUCAUUAUCAGUGUCAUCUCAACCGACGGCCUCUCCGUCGGAGUCAGAAGGGGAUGUGGAGGACUUCAUUCUGUCCAAGGAACAGCCCGGCCAGAGCCUUCAGGCUCAGGGAGGAAGGGCGGACAUUUUUAUUUGCGGAUCUUUAAAAAGCUGCUCGUCACAAUAUGUUUUUAAUGGAAAUAAUAAAAGUGUCACGACACAACAACGUCAACUUAGCAGCCAGAAUAGCAGUAUUGAUCUUUGUGUUGAUGAAACAAAAUGCUUUGCCAUUUUAGUUCAUGAUCUACCAAAUGAUGAAAUUUUCACAGUCAAUGUCACAUUCUUAGUUCCAUGGCAGGUCUAGAAAAUGGGGUGAUAAAAUAUCAUAUUUAUUUCAAGCGAUUGACUGAAAAAUCACAGAUUCACAUUGUCUUAAAAGUAUUAAAUGAAAACAAUAAACACC